CAGAAGUUGUGUCCUUAAGGGGUUAAAAGAGCUUAGUGGUGUACUAGCAAAACCAUUAACAGAUUUAUUUAACCAAUCAUUGUUAACAGGAGUAGUCCCAGAAGAUUGGAAGUUAGCGAAUGUUGUGCCGAUUCACAAGAAAGGUAAUAGGGAGGAGUCGGGCAACUAUAGGCCAGUAAGCCUUACUUCAGUAGUGGGGAAAGUGAUGGAAAGUGAUGUUAAAGGAUAGGAUUG
Pelobates cultripes (western spadefoot toad) is the source of this 234-nucleotide non-coding RNA. The record is from the annotation of a GenBank genome assembly. Lineage: Eukaryota; Metazoa; Chordata; Amphibia; Anura; Pelobatidae.